This 1055-nucleotide ribosomal RNA is filed under the name Ferdinandcohnia humi. RNAcentral's name for it is "bacterial SSU rRNA". It matches the Rfam family "Bacterial small subunit ribosomal RNA", at positions 38 to 1071 of the family's 1533-position model. Lineage: Bacteria; Bacillati; Bacillota; Bacilli; Caryophanales; Bacillaceae. The record is from RNAcentral.
GGCGGCGUGCCUAAUACAUGCAAGUCGAGCGAAUCUGAGGGAGCUUGCUCCCAAAGAUUAGCGGCGGACGGGUGAGUAACACGUGGGCAACCUGCCUGUAAGACUGGGAUAACUUCGGGAAACCGGAGCUAAUACCGGAUAACAUAUGAGACCUCAUGGUCUUGUGUUAAAAGAUGGCUUUUAGCUAUCACUUACAGAUGGGCCCGCGGCGCAUUAGCUAGUUGGUGAGGUAACGGCUCACCAAGGCGACGAUGCGUAGCCGACCUGAGAGGGUGAUCGGCCACACUGGGACUGAGACACGGCCCAGACUCCUACGGGAGGCAGCAGUAGGGAAUCUUCCGCAAUGGACGAAAGUCUGACGGAGCAACGCCGCGUGAGCGAAGAAGGUCUUCGGAUCGUAAAGCUCUGUUGUUAGGGAAGAACAAGUAUCGUUCGAAUAGGGCGGUACCUUGACGGUACCUAACCAGAAAGCCACGGCUAACUACGUGCCAGCAGCCGCGGUAAUACGUAGGUGGCAAGCGUUAUCCGGAAUUAUUGGGCGUAAAGCGCGCGCAGGCGGUCCUUUAAGUCUGAUGUGAAAGCCCACGGCUCAACCGUGGAGGGUCAUUGGAAACUGGGGGACUUGAGUGCAGAAGAGGAGAGCGGAAUUCCACGUGUAGCGGUGAAAUGCGUAGAGAUGUGGAGGAACACCAGUGGCGAAGGCGGCUCUCUGGUCUGUAACUGACGCUGAGGCGCGAAAGCGUGGGGAGCGAACAGGAUUAGAUACCCUGGUAGUCCACGCCGUAAACGAUGAGUGCUAAGUGUUAGAGGGUUUCCGCCCUUUAGUGCUGCAGCAAACGCAUUAAGCACUCCGCCUGGGGAGUACGGUCGCAAGACUGAAACUCAAAGGAAUUGACGGGGGCCCGCACAAGCGGUGGAGCAUGUGGUUUAAUUCGAAGCAACGCGAAGAACCUUACCAGGUCUUGACAUCCUUAUGCCAUCCCUAGAGAUAGGGCUUUCCCUUCGGGGACAUAAGUGACAGGUGGUGCAUGGUUGUCGUCAGCUCGUGUCGUGAG